This 523-nucleotide ribosomal RNA is filed under the name uncultured Bacillota bacterium. RNAcentral describes it as "bacterial SSU rRNA". It matches the Rfam family "Bacterial small subunit ribosomal RNA", at positions 381 to 896 of the family's 1533-position model. Lineage: Bacteria; Bacillati; Bacillota. The record is from RNAcentral.
ACCUGACGGAGCAACGCCGCGUGAGUGAUGAAGGUUUUCGGAUCGUAAAGCUCUGUUGCCAGGGAAGAACGUCCGGUAGAGUAACUGCUGCCGGAGUGACGGUACCUGAGAAGAAAGCCCCGGCUAACUACGUGCCAGCAGCCGCGGUAAUACGUAGGGGGCAAGCGUUGUCCGGAAUUAUUGGGCGUAAAGCGCGCGCAGGCGGUUGUUUAAGUCUGGUGUUUAAACCUUGGGCUCAACCUGAGGUCGCACUGGAAACUGGGUGACUUGAGUACAGAAGAGGAAAGUGGAAUUCCACGUGUAGCGGUGAAAUGCGUAGAUAUGUGGAGGAACACCAGUGGCGAAGGCGACUUUCUGGGCUGUAACUGACGCUGAGGCGCGAAAGCGUGGGGAGCAAACAGGAUUAGAUACCCUGGUAGUCCACGCCGUAAACGAUGAGUGCUAGGUGUUAGGGGUUUCGAUACCCUUGGUGCCGAAGUUAACACAGUAAGCACUCCGCCUGGGGAGUACGGUCGCAAGACUG